GUCUUUGUUUCUCUCUGCAGAGAAGGGCGUGUUUGAAGGGCAGAUGUAUACUUUUUGGUAUUAUCCCAAUAGACUAUGCAGUGAGGAAAAAGAGAAGAAAAUGAAUGAAAUGCCUUGUAUUUUUAAGACAGUCUUUGCUUUUCUUAGUAUAAAAACAAUACAUGCUGUUUCUGAAAAUUCAGUGUCUCUGGCCCAGAGAAAACCUUUGUCAGCGUUUCGAGGGUGUGCCUGCCCUAUUAAUGCUCAUUCCCUCUCCAUAUCUGCACCCACACACACCAGAACGAGAUGCUGGAGGAGGGCCAAGAAUAUGCUGUCAUGCUGUACACCUGGAGGAGCUGCUCCCGGGCCAUCCCACAGGUGAAAUGUAACGAGCAGCCUAACAGAGUGGAAAUCUAUGAGAAAACCGUGGAGGUUCUGGAGCCUGAGGUCACAAAACUGAUGAAUUUCAUGUACUUCCAGAGAAACGCCAUUGAGCGUUUCUGCGGGGAGGUGAGGCGCCUGUGCCACGCCGAGAGGAGGAAGGACUUCGUGUCAGAAGCCUACCUGAUCACACUGGGCAAGUUCAUCAACAUGUUCGCUGUGCUG
This 585-nucleotide small RNA is filed under the name Pongo abelii (Sumatran orangutan). RNAcentral describes it as "retained intron". Lineage: Eukaryota; Metazoa; Chordata; Mammalia; Primates; Hominidae. The record is from RNAcentral.